GUAAGAUGAGGCGAUGGGUCUCUCCCCCGCCCUCCUUCUACCCUACCCUCCUUCCCCCUUCGCGCCCUUUCCUUGGGCUCUUCCUCUCGUGGCUCAGGCUGGGGGUUACCCAAGCUUGGCAGCAGCCGCGGCUUCAGCGCGCUGGUGCGAGUGCUGAGUCCGGGAGGCAGCCUCUACAGCUCUCCCCGCCACCGGCCUGUGGCACCUGUGCGCGCACACUGCCGCCCGCUCCAUUGCGGCGGCUCCUGGACCAGGAUCCGCAGCCUGUCGCCCUCCUUCUCUCCUCUUUCUGGGCAGAUUAUGAUCCUACAUGUGCAUCCAUGACAUCUGUAUAGUCCCCCAUUGGUGUUUGUUUCCCUGGGCGCUCUUUGGCACUGGCUGUCCCGCCAGAAGGCGCCAGCAGGGAGCUCAAUGCCGGCAACCAUCGCCUGCCCCUUGGAGCUGUUGCCUGGGCAGGGGUGGCCUUGGUUGUUUACCGCCGGGGUUGACCAGCUAACGAGGGUUGGUCCCGCUUUCGUAGUGUGGAUUUUCGUUUCCUCUACUUGACUCUAAAUCAAUCCUGUAUAUUCGCAAACUACAAAGAGGCGCAUGCAAAUAGAUACUGUACUGAGGGCAGAUACACGCGCGAGAUCCAGAGGGUACAUAAAUUUUCAAGUAGGAAAAGUCACAAGUAUGGAAUCUACAAAUAAAGAGAUCUACUGUAUGUAUACAAUCACAGCUCCCAGGCAGCUGUGAUGGUGGGGAGGCAGCUGCACAGUGAUGGCAGUGGCUGCCAGGCAGUCCCCCACAACCCUGAGAAAGGAAAAUUCUGCUCUCUGAAUCUGUAGAAAGAGGAGGAUGAGAGCGAGGGGCAGGAGGAAGAUGUGGAGAAGGAGAAAGAUGAAAGAAGAAGCCUUCAUAAAUACUUGUUUUAAAUUCAUGUCACAAGGGAGCACCUAAUAAGGACCUGACUCACAGUGGACAUUAAAACAGUGAUUAUGUGAACUAAUUGGUGGAUAAAUCGUUGGCUCUCUGCUUCAAGCACAGCAAAACAAGUCAGCUUCUUGGAUAUCUUUUAUGGGAGAUAAUAUGGCUAUCCAAAUGUUCACCAAUCCCUCACUUAUGCCUUGUGCCCACUCAUGGGAGACAUAUAAUCUCAUGCCCCAGUGAUGUUGGGCUUUGACAUGUGACUUGCUUUGGCCAAGAGAAUGUAAUCAGAGAUAACAUAUGCCACAUUUUAUUAGAAGCUGUGAGAGAUAUUUUACAUUUCUAUCAGUCACCUUUAAUUUCUGCCCUCUGGAAUUUUAAAAGUAUGUUGUAGUUGUGGCUAAUAUUUCCACUUGGAUACUGCAAUAAGAAAACACAAAGAGACAGGCCAAGCACAAUAAGACCAACCAACCAAAUCCAGAAAUGCUCAGCCAAACUGAAGCUGACCCUCGGCAUUCAUGUGAUGGGUGAGAACUACAAGGUGUAAGCCUUUGAGAUUUUGUGGUUCUCUGGCUGAAAGAAAAGUUGAUUGAUAUCCUUCUAUAAAACAAAAGAUUCAGAAGGAUCUAAUGGAUUAGGUUUUAGUAUAUUAUUGCAAAUCAUAAUGAAUUCUUAGAUACAUAUUUUUUAACCAUAAUAGGAAGAAUAGCUAUUUAUACAACUCAUAUUUACAAGAUGAUUUCAUAUUUUUAGUUCAUUUUCUGCUGUGUAGAAAUGUAAUGGUUAUAAUAUGGUGCCCUUUCAUGCUCAUCAAGCACUCUUUUAUCUCACUAAUGAAGGGCAAAAGUGAUGGACAUAUGUUGUUACUAGAAUAAAAGGCCACCUUACACUCAAGAAAAUUAAUGUAUUACUGUGAUAACUUUGUUCUCUAUUAAAAAUGAAUCAUUCUUGAAUCAGAAUUUCUUUACUUUGGAAGUUAGUAUUUCACCCUUAUAUCAAUUUAACUUUGUAGAAAUAUGACUAGAAAUUAAAUGGCAUAAAAACUGAGAAACAAAUUUAUACAGAAAAGAUUUACAAUUUAUAAUGAGUUGUGCCAAGUAGGAAAUAUUUUAACCUCAUAAGGAUAAGUGUGAAAUCAAGAAAUUUGUAGUCAAAGGUGGUUCAUCCUAUAAAAAUAAAAAUAUAUAGGAGAAUACUGAUGAGAAAAGAAAAUUAAAAUAUCCAGAAAUUUUCAUGUAGCUUAUUUGAAGUCACAAAAUGUGACAAAAAUACCAUAAAAUAAAAUGUGUAAUUCAGGGCUCCAGAAAUGGCCAUGGUGCUGAUAGUUGACAGCUGUUGUUUUUGCCUUCCCAGCACUCUCCCACUUUUUAAUGUUAAGAGAAUUCUAAUUCUGUUUUGGGAAACAUCCUCUCCUCUUUCACUUCAGUAGCCCUAGUGCUAUAGUGUCAUUCCUCUUUUAAAUGUGGGCAAUGUGAGCCCAAUAAAUCAUAGUCUCAUAUGACCCUCACCACAGGCAUUUCUUUAGGACUGGCAUCUGAGCCAAGAGAGGAUACUCAGAGCAGACAGGAAUCUGAGGAGUGAAAGAAACUUUCUUCAGCUAUUAAAGUUGAGAGAAGAUAGCAGUAAGAUGGGAGCAGCCGGUGUACAUCUAGUCAGCAGAAAUGGCAAGCCAGCCUGAGAACUCCACUAACACAAAGGAAAGCAAAGCUCAGAGAAGGCAAGGGACAGACCAAGUUCUGAUGAUGCCAUAUAAUCCCACACCCUCCCAAACAGGAUACACCUGAUUUUUUAACCUUGUUUUCCUUUCUCUUGCAAUUUCAAUCCCUGAUAGAUACAGUGCUCCUGGGGGUGGUUGAGGCAUUUGAAGAUGAAUAUUUUACAAUUAGACUUUCCCUUCACGUCUGUAUUUCAGUAAACCCAUAAAUAACAUAUUUCAGAAGUGGUUGGAUUCUUGUGAUGUUUCUCAAUUUAAGUUUCAUUUUUGCAACCAUGUCCUCUAGAGGAAUUCCAGCAAAUGGCUGGCAGUGAAGUUUGGCAUGCAAACAUAUGAGGACUGUAUCUGAAAAUCUCCUUUGAAUAUUGAUUCAUCAGAUGAUUAAUCUCUAAUUUUUUAAUUAAAAAAAGCAGGCUAUAUUAUUAGUACAAAAAGAGUUUUUUUCAUUUUGUAAAUUUUUAUUUUGGGAAAAAAGUCAAACCUACAGAAAAGUUGGAGGAAUUUUACUACAGGCACAAUGCAACUUGUACCUAGAGAAAUUUAGACAUUAAAUUUUUCCCAAAAUUAUUUUCUUUCUCUAAAUACAUAUGCUUUUUUUUCUUUUGCUGAACAAUUUGAAAAUAAUUUGUAGGCAUUUCAUAACUUACCUGACAAAUAUGUUAGCAGGACUCUCCUAAGAAUAAAAACAUUCUUCUCUAUAACUUCUAUACCAAUGUUGCAUCUAAGAAAAUUAACUCUAAUUUUAAAAUAUCACCUAAUAUACUGUCCAUCUUCAAAAUUCCCUAAUUGUUCUAAAAUUGUCUUUUAGGAUCUUUUUGUAAAACUCCAGGAUCCAAUUGUGGUGUGUAAAUUGAAUUUGGUUAUGUCUCUUUAGUUUCUUUUAAUGUUGAACUGUCCCUUAUAUUUUUUCUCGUUAUAUUGAAUUGUUGACCAUUCUAGGCCUCUGGUCUUUUACAAUGUGUUCCUUUCUUGUUUUUUCUUAUGUAAAUUCAGUUUAAUAAUUUUGGCAAGAAUAGUACACAGUUGCUAUGUAUAUUUCUUGUUGUUUCACAUUAAGAACAUUAUAUCAAGUUGUCCUACCAUUGAUGAUUCAAAGUUUGGCUGCUAAAUCUCCGAAUUAUAAAGAAAAAUUCUUUUCUAUUAGUAAUUAAUAUUAUACUUGUGUGAUAUCUUGAAUAGGUAGGAAAGUCCAGUUUUCCAACAAUCCCCCACACAAUGGUUUUAGCAUUUGUUGAUAACGCUCAGAGAAGGCAAGGGACUGAACAAGUUCUGAUGAUGUGUUUUCGUUUUCGUUUGAAUAAAGUUCAUUUUUAGAAUUCAAUCAUUUUUUCCAUAUUUGUUAGAUGUCCUUUAUCUAUAAAGAUAAAGAAGACGUUACUUCCAUUCCUGCAUCUUCAUCAUACUCACACACAUAAUUAACCUUUUUCAUUAUUUUCUGUUUAUCUUUUCUGUGUGUGUGAUGUAUUACAUAUUAUACAUUUUAAAUAAUAUAUAAUAGAGAACAUUUAUUUGUACACAUACACACACACACAAAUUUCUUUUAUGCUCAUUCACAAAGAUACCACAGUAUGUACACUUUUUUGAGGCUUUUUUUUCACUUAACCAUGUAUCUUGGAAAUACUCCAUAUAAGUUAAUAGCUAGUUAUCUUUUUAUUGUUCUGUAAAUUAUUUAAUCUGUCUUCUAUAGAUGGGCAUUUCGUUUUUAUCCAAUAUUUUCUAUUUUAAUUAAUGCUGCAGUGAAUAAACUUUUGCAUAUAUUGUUUUGUUAUUUGCAGGAAGGUAUAUACAAGCAAAGUCUUAGAAAGAGGAUUUCUGGAUCAAAGUGUAAAUGCAUCGGCAGCUUUGUUAGAUAUUGCCACAUUGUGUUCAACAAGGGUUUUACCAUCAACAGUUAUGAGUGUCUGUUUUCCCAAAGCCUAGCCAAUAGUAUGUGUUUUCAAGGCACUGAUUUUCUGCUAAUCUGGUAGGUAAGAAAUAGCAUAAUGGUGUAGUUUUAAUUUGCAUUCCUAUUAUUGUCAGUGAGUUAGAGUGCCUUUUCAUAUGUUCAAGGACCAUUUUUAUAUACUUUCUCUAAACUCUUCAUUUUUCAUUUUCCCAUGUUAUUUUCACUUUAUUUUCAAUAACUCUUUUUAAAUGAAAGAUAUUAGCAUUUUAUUUUCUGUGAUGUAAGUUGCAAAUAUUUUUGUCCAGCCUGUCUUUCAAUUUUUCUGUUUUAGCAUGCAUUUUAAAAUUUUUAAUGAAGUUGAAUUUAUAAUUUUUAUAUAGCUACUUGAUAGUGAAUCAUAAUUAGAAAUGUCUCCACACACAUUAUAAAGAAAGCCAAGCAUGUUCCCGUUUAGACUGUUGAUCCAAGUAGAGUGUUUUCACGUUCUACUAGAUCAAUAAUGGAUCCAAUUUUUUUCUUUUCUAAAUGUCUAUCCAGUUUUCCAAACACUAUGUUUUAAAAAGACUAUAUUUUUUCCAGUAGCCUAAGAUACCAUAUAUAAUAUUUACUAAAUCUUCAUUUGUACUUAGGUCUAUUCUGAGCUUUCCAUACAAUUUUGUUAAUCUAUUAAUAUAUUCUUGAAUCUGUAUCAUGCCAUUUUGAUUAUAGAGACUCUAUAGUAUACUUUUUAAAAAUAGACUUUAUUUUUUAGGCCAGAUUAAGGUUCACAGCAGAAGUUACAGAGCUUUCCCAAAUACUCCCUACACCGACAGAUGCACAGCCUCCCUCAUUAUCAACAUCCCCCAUCAGAAUGAUACAAUUGCUAUAAUUGAUGAACCUAAAUUGACUACUCAUUAUUACUCAGAAUCCAUAGUUUACACUGGGGUUCACUCUUGGUUUCGUGCAUUCUGUGGGUUUGGAAAAGUUCAUAAUGCUAUAUAUCCAUUCUUAUAACAUCAUACAAAGUAGUUUCAGUGCUCUAAAAAUCCUCUGUGCUCCAGCGAUUUGCCUCUCCCUUCUCCUAACCCUUGGUCUUUUUAUUAUCUCCACAGUUUUGCCUUUUCUGGAAUGUCAUUUAGUUAGAAUCAUAUGGUAUGUAGCUUUUUUAGAUUGGAUUGUUUCAUUUAGUCAUUUGCAUUUGAAUUUCCUCGAUGUCUUUUCAUGGCUUGAUAGCUCAUUAAAAAAAAUCAAAUAAUAUUUUAUUGUCUAGAUGUACAUAUUUUAUUUAUCCGUUCACCGACUAAAGUUAAUCUUGAUUAAUUUCAUGUUCUGAAAAUUAUAAAUAAUUGUGUGCAUUUUAAUAUCUAGCAGUACUACCUAAUUGCACUUAUUUUUAAAUGUUUACUUAAAUAUUAUUUCUUGUUAUUUCUUCUACAUAAUAUAUAAAUUAAAUGUAACACUAAUAAAAAUAAAAGAAUCAGCAUAUGUAUGGAUGUUGAGACAUAUCCAUGAACAAGGAAUUAUUGGAUCUAUACAUUGUUCAAGAUUGGUCUUAAAGAGUGGUUUGGAGAUUUCUUCUUAUAGGUUUAAGUAUUUCUAGAAAAGAUUUAAGUUCAUUUAAGCAUGUUACUAUUUUUAUUGUUGUUAUAAAUUGUUUUCUGAUUAUUUUUUGUUUAUAUAAGGAUUAUUGAUUUUUGUGUGCUAACUCAGAAGUUUUGCUCUUAUACAACAGUUAUUGCAAUCCCUGUAAUACUCCCUUUGUUGAAAAAAAUUUACUUCUGCUAUUGAGUUCCCUUUCUUUUCUAAAAUGAACUUACCACCGGCACAGUGACUCAUACCUGUAAUCUCAGCUGAGGCAGGGGGAUUGCUUAAGGCCAAGAGUUGCAGACAGGCCUGGGCAACAGAGAGAGACUCCAUCUCUAAUAAGUAAAUAAAUACAUAAAAUAAACUCAUUUUCUCCCUGGUACUUAUUUUUUUAUGUCUACCUUAUAAUUGAACACCCAUAGAUCACAAUCACUUGGUGCUUAAUAAGAAAAACGUAUUCAGUGCAUGAUAAUUACAUUUGUGUGUAUCCAAUUCUAUUAUUUCCAUAAGCUAAUUAUAAAGUUGGACAUAUGUAUCUCUGAGAAAAUAGUGACCUCCAAAUGUAAUAAAAUUUAAAAACAUUUUAAUAAUUAUUUGGUAAAAUA
This 6673-nucleotide long non-coding RNA is filed under the name Homo sapiens (human). RNAcentral's name for it is "HSALNT0110221". The record is from RNAcentral. Lineage: Eukaryota; Metazoa; Chordata; Mammalia; Primates; Hominidae.